RNAcentral lists this long non-coding RNA (282 nucleotides) under Daucus carota (carrot). RNAcentral's name for it is "long non-coding RNA (DCAR_LNC007508)". The record is from RNAcentral. Lineage: Eukaryota; Viridiplantae; Streptophyta; Magnoliopsida; Apiales; Apiaceae.
AGCUUAGAGAUGAAUUGAUUGAUUGAGAUUGCGAGUAUGGCUAAGGCUAGGCGAGGAAUCAGAGUAUAGAGUAUACAGAGGACAAGUGGUAAUGUUCAGGGAGAUUGUCAAGGUUGGUUCUAGAUAGAAUUGUUGAGAUUCAGUUGUAAUCAUAAUUUAAAUAGAUUGGCAGUGAUUCUUCUCAUCGAAGAUGAUCUGAGGUUGUAAGACAUUGUUUAUUUAUAGUGGUUGAUUCUAAUUUCAAUACUGUAACCUGGAUGCGAUCCUGUUUUUAGGGGGUUA